CCCUUAGAUGUCCGGGGCCGCACGCGCGCUACACUGAGUGUCUGAGAUACGAGUCUGCCUGGUCCGGCAAGGUCUAGGUAAUCGCUAAAAGACACAUCAUGCUUGGGAUAGAUUAUUGCAAAUAUUAAUCUUGAACGAGGAAUUCCUAGUAAGCGCAAGUCAACAGCUUGCGUUGAUUACGUCCCUGCCCUUUGUACACACCGCCCGUCGCUACUACUGAUUGGAUGUUUAAGCGAGGUUCUCGAACUGCUAGCGACUUAGCUUCGGUGAGGUCGCAGUGUGGGAAGUGAACCUAGCUUUGGUGUCUAGAGGAAGUAAAAGUCGUAACA
This 329-nucleotide ribosomal RNA is filed under the name uncultured eukaryote. RNAcentral describes it as "partial 18S ribosomal RNA". It matches the Rfam family "Eukaryotic small subunit ribosomal RNA", at positions 1470 to 1796 of the family's 1831-position model. The record is from RNAcentral.